UGGSUGCGUCGGGGCAGGGCGCUGGGUGUGCGUGCAGUGCCGCGAGCGUGCAGUGUGCGCCCGCGAGCGCAGCGCGUGGAUGCGUCCCGCGGGCGCACUGCGGGCACUGGGAGCGCAGUGCGUGUGCAGUGCGCGUGUGCAGUGCUGCGUGCGUCCUUGCAGUGCCCCAGGCUCUGUGCAGUGCACGGCGGCCCCGGGCAGUGCGUAUGCAGUGCGUGCAGUGCGGGUGCAGUGCACGGGCGCCCCACGGGUGUGCGCGGUGCCCAGGGUGGGUGCAGUGCAGGGUGGGGCAUGCACGUGGGUGCCAGGCAUGGGUGCCAUGCGGGUGCAGUGCAUGUGCAGUGCGUGCGCAGUGUGCGGGCGCCCUGCAGGUGUGCAGGGGGCGGGUGCAGUGCAUGGCAGGGCAUGCACGUGGGUGCUGUGUGGGUGCAGUGCACGGGCACCCCACGGGUGUGUAGGGGAUGGGUGCAGUGCAUGUGCAGUGCGAGUGCAGUGCGCGGGUGCCCCACGAGUGUGCAGGGAGUGGGUGCAAUGCGCGCGCAGUGUGUAGGUGCCCCACAGGCAUGCAGUGUGCGGGUGCAGUGUGGGUGCAGUGUACAGGCACCCCGUGGGUGUGCAGGGGAUGGGUGCAGUGCGUGUGCAGUGCGCAGGCGCCCCGUGGGUGUGCAGGGGAUGGGUGCAGUGUGGGUGCAGUGCACGGGUGACCCACGGCUGUGCAGGGGAUGGGUGCAGUGCGGGUGCAGUGCACAGGUGCCCCACGGGUGUGCAGGGGGUGGGUGCAGUGCGCGCGGAGUACGUGGGUGCCCCGUGGGGGUGCAGGGGGCGGGUGCAGUGUGGGUGCAGUGUGGGGGCACCCUGUGGGUGUGCAGUGUGCGGGUGCAGUGUGGGUGCCGUGCACGGGCACCCCACAGACGUGCAGGGGAUGGGUGCAGUGCGGGGGCACCCCACGGGCGUGCAGUGCGCGGGUGCAGUGUGGGUGCAGUGCGUGGGUGCCCCACGGGUGUGCAGUGCGGGGGUG
This 1018-nucleotide long non-coding RNA is filed under the name Apteryx haastii (Great spotted kiwi). Its description in RNAcentral is "lncRNA (ENSAHAG00000014306.1)". The record is from RNAcentral. Lineage: Eukaryota; Metazoa; Chordata; Aves; Apterygiformes; Apterygidae.